This 264-nucleotide unclassified non-coding RNA is filed under the name fungal sp. Its description in RNAcentral is "partial internal transcribed spacer region". The stretch from base 1 to 46 matches the Rfam family "Eukaryotic small subunit ribosomal RNA", at positions 1786 to 1831 of the family's 1831-position model. Lineage: Eukaryota; Fungi. The record is from RNAcentral.
AAGUCGUAACAAGGUUUCCGUAGGUGAACCUGCGGAAGGAUCAUUAUUGAAUGAACAUGGAGUUGGUUGUUGCUGGCCCCUUUAUUGGGGCAUGUGCACACCUCCUCUAUUCAUCCACACACACCUGUGAACUUGUGAGACGGAUAGUAGCCCUCUCGGGGGCGAGGUCCGUCUGCUAUACAUAAACUCCAGUAUAUAAAUUUGAAUGUCAUUUGAUGUAACACAUCUAAAAACUAAGUUUCAACAACGGAUCUCUUGGCUCUC